GGUCUGAUGGCGUAGUUGGUUAUUGCAUCUGUCUAACACAGAAGGCCCUCAGUUCGAUUUUUCAUGCCU
Suillus variegatus is the source of this 69-nucleotide non-coding RNA. The record is from the annotation of a GenBank genome assembly. Lineage: Eukaryota; Fungi; Basidiomycota; Agaricomycetes; Boletales; Suillaceae.